This 180-nucleotide ribosomal RNA is filed under the name uncultured Bacillus sp. RNAcentral describes it as "partial 16S ribosomal RNA". It matches the Rfam family "Bacterial small subunit ribosomal RNA", at positions 364 to 535 of the family's 1533-position model. Lineage: Bacteria; Bacillati; Bacillota; Bacilli; Caryophanales; Bacillaceae. The record is from RNAcentral.
GCUCGCAUGGGAGAAGUCUGACGGAGCACGCCGCGUGAGUGAUGAAGGUUUUCGGAUCGUAAAGCUCUGUUGUUAGGGAAGAACAAGUACCGUUCGAAUAGGGCGGUACCUUGACGGUACCUAACCAGAAAGCCACGGCUAACUACGUGCCAGAGCCGCGGUAAUUGAUGCUCUGUCAGA